UAGGGAAUCUUCCGCAAUGGACGCAAGUCUGACGGAGCAACGCCGCGUGAGUGAAGAAGGAUUUCGGUUCGUAAAACUCUGUUGUUAGAGAAGAACAGCGCAUAGAGUAACUGUUAUGCGUGUGACGGUAUCUAACCAGAAAGCCACGGCUAACUACGUGCCAGCAGCCGCGGUAAUACGUAGGUGGCAAGCGUUGUCCGGAUUUAUUGGGCGUAAAGCGAGCGCAGGCGGUCAAUUAAGUCUGAUGUGAAAGCCCCCGGCUCAACCGGGGAGGGUCAUUUGAGACUGGUUGACUUGAGUGCAGAAGGGGAGAGUGGAAUUCCAUGGGUAGCGGGGAAAUGCGUAGAUAUAUGGAGGAACACCAGUGGCGAAGGCGAGUCUCUGGUCUGUAACUGACGCUGAGGCUCGAAAGCGUGGGUAGCAAACAGG
Molecule: ribosomal RNA, 429 nt
Filed under: Bacteroidota bacterium
Lineage: Bacteria; Pseudomonadati; Bacteroidota
Description: Bacteroidetes bacterium partial 16S ribosomal RNA
Rfam family: Bacterial small subunit ribosomal RNA
Source: RNAcentral